UACCUCUGGUGUACCAGUUGUCCUGCCAAGGGCAUGGCUGGGUAGCUAUGUACGGAAUGGAUAAGCGCUGAAAGCAUCUAAGCGCGAAGCCAACUUCAAGAUAAGAUUUCCCACCGCAAGGGUAAGACCCCAGAAAGACUAUCUGGUUGAUAGGUCGAAGGUGUAAGUGCAGCAAUGUAUUUAGCUUAUCGAUACUAAUAGGUCGAGGACUUGACCAA
RNAcentral lists this ribosomal RNA (218 nucleotides) under Clostridioides difficile. RNAcentral describes it as "partial 23S ribosomal RNA". It matches the Rfam family "Bacterial large subunit ribosomal RNA", at positions 2704 to 2925 of the family's 2925-position model. The record is from RNAcentral. Lineage: Bacteria; Bacillati; Bacillota; Clostridia; Peptostreptococcales; Peptostreptococcaceae.